This 487-nucleotide ribosomal RNA is filed under the name uncultured soil bacterium. RNAcentral's name for it is "bacterial SSU rRNA". It matches the Rfam family "Bacterial small subunit ribosomal RNA", at positions 26 to 503 of the family's 1533-position model. The record is from RNAcentral.
AGAUUGAACGCUGGCGGCAGGCCUAACACAUGCAUGUCGAGCGGCAGCACGGGUACUUGUACCUGGUGGCGAGCGGCGGACGGGUGAGUAAUGCCUAGGAAUCUGCCUGGUAGUGGGGGAUAACGCUCGGAAACGGACGCUAAUACCGCAUACGUCCUACGGGAGAAAGCAGGGGACCUUCGGGCCUUGCGCUAUCAGAUGAGCCUAGGUCGGAUUAGCUAGUUGGUGAGGUAAUGGCUCACCAAGGCGACGAUCCGUAACUGGUCUGAGAGGUUGAUCAGUCACACUGGAACUGAGACACGGUCCAGACCUCCGUACGGGAGGCAGCAGUGGGGAAUAUUGGACAAGUGGGACGAAAGCCUGAUCCAGCCAUGCCGCGUGUGUAGAAGAGGUCUUGGAUUAGUAAGCUAACGUUUAAGUGGAGGAAGGCUAAUUAACUAAUUACGUUAGUGUUUGACGUUACGACAGAAUAAGCAACCGCCAACUC